AUGGAGCAAUUACCGUACUGUAACAGACUAGGAGAAGAUUUUGGAAAAAGAGCUAAGAUGAUCAUCUUUGUCAUCACUUUUACUGCAUCUCUGAUCUGCCAUACAGUUUUAGCAGGAGACAGUGGAGUCACCCAAACACCCAGUGUUGCCUGGCCUGAGAAAGGAAAAUCUGCUGAAAUGACAUGCAGUCAUGAUAAAGAUGCAAGCUAUUAUCAGAUGUAUUGGUACAGACAGCGCCACGGAGAGAGUAUGGAGCUCAUCGUGUACACAUCGACCAGUGGUGAACCUGAGUUUGGUUCUGUUGAUAAAAAUAAAUUUUCCACGGUGAAAGAAACUGCUGCACAUGGAUCUUUAACCGUGAAGGCUCUGGAUAUGGAGGACAGCGCUGUAUAUUUCUGUGCAGUAAGAGAACACAGUGUUACAGAGCGACUGCACUGCUGA
Molecule: non-coding RNA, 441 nt
Organism: Neoarius graeffei (lesser salmon catfish)
Lineage: Eukaryota; Metazoa; Chordata; Actinopteri; Siluriformes; Ariidae
Source: the annotation of a RefSeq genome assembly